Non-coding RNA from Brassica napus (rape), 125 nucleotides. Lineage: Eukaryota; Viridiplantae; Streptophyta; Magnoliopsida; Brassicales; Brassicaceae. The record is from Rfam.
AAAAUAUAAGAAAUUGUCUCUUAACUUUUAACUAAAAAAGCUAAGAACCGGCUCUUAAAUAAGAGAUUUAAGAACCGGUUCUUAGUUUUUUUAGUUAAAAGUUAAGAUACGGUUUCUUAUAUUCC